GGGCCGCUAGCUCAGCUGGUAGAGCAACGCCCUUUUAAGGCGUGGGUCACUGGUUCGAAUCCAGUGCGGCUCA
Molecule: transfer RNA, 73 nt
Filed under: Spirochaeta lutea
Lineage: Bacteria; Pseudomonadati; Spirochaetota; Spirochaetia; Spirochaetales; Spirochaetaceae
Also listed under: 1 other name
Rfam family: tRNA
About the family: Transfer RNA (tRNA) molecules are approximately 80 nucleotides in length.
Source: Rfam by way of RNAcentral